CUGAUGGCGACCGGCGCACGGGUGAGUAACACGUAUCCAACCUGCCGAUAACUCGGGGAUAGCCUUUCGAAAGAAAGAUUAAUACCCGAUGGUAUAAUAAAGCCGCAUGGUUUAAUUAUUAAAGAAUUUCGGUUAUCGAUGGGGAUGCGUUCCAUUAGGCAGUUGGUGAGGUAACGGCUCACCAAACCUUCGAUGGAUGGGGGUUCUGAGAGGAAGGUCCCCCACAUUGGAACUGAGACACGGUCCAA
This 248-nucleotide ribosomal RNA is filed under the name uncultured bacterium. RNAcentral's name for it is "partial 16S ribosomal RNA". It matches the Rfam family "Bacterial small subunit ribosomal RNA", at positions 85 to 334 of the family's 1533-position model. The record is from RNAcentral.